UACGUAGGGUGCGAGCGUUAAUCGGAAUUACUGGGCGUAAAGCGUGCGCAGGCGGUUCGUUAAGUCAGCUGUGAAAGCCCCGGGCUCAACCUGGGAAUUGCGGUUGAAACUGGCGAACUAGAAUCUGGCAGAGGGGGGUGGAAUUCCACGUGUAGCAGUGAAAUGCGUAGAUAUUCGGAGGAACACCAGUGGCGAAGGCGGCUCACUGGUCCGGUACUGACGCUGAGACGCGAAAGCGUGGGGAGCAAACAGG
This 253-nucleotide ribosomal RNA is filed under the name uncultured bacterium. RNAcentral's name for it is "partial 16S ribosomal RNA". It matches the Rfam family "Bacterial small subunit ribosomal RNA", at positions 524 to 776 of the family's 1533-position model. The record is from RNAcentral.